Molecule: ribosomal RNA, 481 nt
Filed under: uncultured bacterium
Lineage: Bacteria
Description: partial 16S ribosomal RNA
Rfam family: Bacterial small subunit ribosomal RNA
Source: RNAcentral
GAUGAACGCUGGCGGCGUGCUUAACACAUGCAAGUCGAACGAAGCACCUUAUUUGUUUUCCUUUGGGACUGAUUCUUUUGUGACUGAGUGGCGUACGGGUGAGUAACGCGAGGGUAACCUGCCUUGUACAGGGGGAUAACAGUUGGAAACGGCUGCUAAUACUGCAUAAGCGCACGGCAUCGCAUGAUGCAGUGUGAAAAACACCGGCGGUAUAAGAUGGACCCGCGUUGGAUUAGCCGGUGGGUGAGGUAACGGCCAACCAAGGCGACGAUCCAUAGCCGAGCUGGGAAGGGGACAGGCCACGUUGGGGCUGAGGCACGGCCCAAAAUCCGACGGGGGAGAGCAGAAGGGAACAUUGCGGGAUGGGGGAAAGCGUGAUGCAGCGACGUCGCGGAUGCGAGGAAGUGUUUCGGUAUGUAAUGCUGUAUCAGCAGGGAAGAUAGUGACGGUAACUGACAAAGAAGCACCGGCUAAAUACGUG